CCUUCGAUAGCUCAGUUGGUAGACGCGGAGGACUGUAGGUGCUUAUAGGGGUCAUCCUCAGGUCGCUGGUUCGACUCCGGCUCGAAGGA
RNAcentral lists this transfer RNA (89 nucleotides) under Ameiurus melas (black bullhead). It matches the Rfam family "tRNA". Rfam says of the family: Transfer RNA (tRNA) molecules are approximately 80 nucleotides in length. The record is from Rfam by way of RNAcentral. Lineage: Eukaryota; Metazoa; Chordata; Actinopteri; Siluriformes; Ictaluridae.